GAAAAUGAGUAAGGAAGGGGAGGAAGGACUUAGGCAAAGAAUUAAGGAUCGCAUCCUUAGCGAGCUGCUCGUGCAAGGGAAAGCCCAGUUUACUUAGGUGCUCAAUCAUUUCGAUCAUGUACAAUACAUGAUCAGUGACUGAGGCCCCAUCCCUCAUUCGAGCAUUGAAAAUGGUACAACUAGUUUUGUGUCUUUCAACAUCGUCAGGCAUGCCAAAAGAGUCGUUCAACAUUUGAAGCAUCUCCUGCGGUUGGGCAUUCUCGAACCUGCAACUGAACUCAUCAUUCAUUGCCACCAGCAUUAUGCACCGUACGGUGGUGCGAUCGUUGAGCCACUUCUGGUAAGUAUCUCAGACCGUUCCUCUAGCAUUCGGGGCUGGCUCCUCAGGUGCCGGAUCCGUUACUACAUAAAGGAUCCA
Molecule: long non-coding RNA, 418 nt
Filed under: Elaeis guineensis (African oil palm)
Lineage: Eukaryota; Viridiplantae; Streptophyta; Magnoliopsida; Arecales; Arecaceae
Description: long non-coding RNA (EGUI_LNC067074)
Source: RNAcentral